RNAcentral lists this ribosomal RNA (253 nucleotides) under uncultured bacterium. Its description in RNAcentral is "partial 16S ribosomal RNA". It matches the Rfam family "Bacterial small subunit ribosomal RNA", at positions 524 to 776 of the family's 1533-position model. The record is from RNAcentral.
GACGUAGGGCGCGAGCGUUGUCCGGAUUUAUUGGGCGUAAAGAGCUCGUAGGCGGCUUGUUGCGUCGUCCGUGAAAACCUGUGGCUCAACUACAGGCUUGCGGUCGAUACGGGCGGGCUGGAGUUCGGUAGGGGAGACUGGAAUUCCUGGUGUAGCGGUGAAAUGCGCAGAUAUCAGGAGGAACACCGGUGGCGAAGGCGGGUCUCUGGGCCGAUACUGACGCUGAGGAGCGAAAGCGUGGGGAGCGAACAGG